AAACUUAUUCUAGGUAGACAAGGAAAGAGUCAACAAUGCACACAUGGAAAUUCAAAAAAAAUUGGCAUUCAUUCACUAGCAGAAGCCUUUCCGUUUGCGAAAAAACUUUAUGGCACUAAGGUUCCUAAGGACGCUGAUUCCUUCUAAACCUGAAAUCAUUGCUAUUUAGUGUGCAUCAGGUUGAAUUUCUCCCGUAUACCAAAUAAUAUUUCAGAAUUGUUGUGCUUUACAUGUGCCGCUUAGCAGGAUAUAUAGAUUUUGAGUAAGUAAUUACAAACACCUAAACUCUUAAAAGACGGUAUAGAAACUUAACCAUAAUAAUAUUGCUAAGAUUGGUUGAACAUCUCUUUGGGUCAGGACCUGUGGGAAACAUCUCACAAACUUUCCUGCAUGUGUUUCUCUCCAUGACCAUUAUAAGGUUGUUCUUAAGAUCCACAUAGUAAAGGGGUGCCUGGGAGGCUCAGUCGGUUAAGCGCCAAUCUCUUGACUUCGGCUCAGGUCAUGAUCUCAUGGUUCGUGAGUUCAAGCCCUCCGUCGGGCUCCGGGUUGACUGUGUGGAGCCUGCUUGAGAUUCUCUCUCUCUUCCCCUCGCCUGCUUAUGCUCUUUUCCUCUCUCUAAAUAAAUACAUAAACUUAAAAAAAUCCCAAUAUUACAGAUGACGAUCCCAUUAUAACAACUGUUAGUGGUCAUUUUGUUGUUACCAAGUGUAGGCACUGUUAUAAGCACUUUAGAUAUUUAUUAUCACUUUUCACCUUCUUUAAGCGCUGGGAGUCUUCUAUCCCUGUGGAAUGGGAGUCUGAGGGGGGGACUAUGGGGUGAGUGGCAGACUGUGUGAGAUUGGAGAAGUGCAGGGAAGUGUUUAGAUGCCCUAUGUGCGGUGGGCCCCCUGAGUAAAUCCAAGAGUAGUCCUGAAAUUCCAAUAAAAACGGCAAGGAAACUAUGGAGAAUCAGACAAGCAGCAAGAAAAGAGGCAAGUGCUCCAAGUGUACAAAGGAGCUUGUUGUUUAAAGAGAGAGGAAAGAGAAUUUGAUUUAGAAAACUAGUAAAUUGCUGGGAAGAAUUAAAAAAAAAAUGCAGUAUUUAACCUUACAGUCUCCUUCACAGCUAAUAAUGAGCUGGUUCAGACAAGGUCACAGGCAUAAAAAUGGUCCUGAGGGGUGCUUUUGGAUCAGGAGUGGAGUGAAAAAAGAUGGUUAGAAACGGCACUAUAGACCCUGGAAAAGUCCAAAUCACCCAUAAUUCCUGGGUUCUGUGGGAAUCUUUCCGGAUAGCUCAUUGUUUUGUCUGCUCUGUUAAACUCCUGUCUUCCCACAGAACGAAUGACUACGUGUCCCAACGCAGACACAAGCGAAGGGUGCACCUUUAUUUUUCUCAGUUUCCCUCCGUGUCCAUCUCCCGAGGUGAAGAGAAGCAAAUCUCAGAAUGAUCAACCACCUGGGUCGUUCCCAGAAAUAGAGAAAGAUACAGAACAGCCCCAGGACCACAUCUAACAUGAAUUCAUGAAUUCGGCUGUAAUCUUGGUUUCUCUUUUCACCUCCAGAUGCCCACAGCACCUUGUCUCCCUAUUUCAGCCUUCGUCAGGGUUGGCCUCGAAUUGCAGGGACAGACUUUGGUUGCGGUGGUUAUUCAUUAUUGAAACAUCAAAAUCUUGGGGAGCAGGAAAGGGUAUUUCUUAAUCACUUGUAGGUGGGCUCAUUUCAAAAACUCAGCCAUGCUUUGAGCCUAGACAUUGAUAAGAUUGUGGGGUAAUAUAUUGGUGUUGCUUUAAGCUGCUAAAUGUGUGACAAUUUUUAUGGUACCUACAGAGAAUGAGAACACAGGUGAAAACAAGGAAGGAUCCCAAUCUACGAGGGAUUAUUAGAAAGGCUAUUAGGUUAGACGCUUAAGUGGAAUGAAUAAGGUUAAGACCCAGUUAUUGGGGCUAGAAUACAAGGGGGAGGAACACAGGACAAACACAGAAUCUGAGUUAUUAGAACUCGCACAAAGUUGUGGAAUGAGACUCCCAUUUAAGCUAACUGACAUAGGGUCACUUGGGCUGCUAGAGGAUAGGUCCAUAUAUACACUCAGACUCAAGGACAGAAUUAGUUAAAAUCUUGGUGUGAAGUCAGAAUCACAGUGAUAAGAACAAGCACAAACAGGUUUCAAAGAGAUAGGGGCGGAUGGAUGGGAAAAUCUGCCCGCAGCAAUGUUUUCCAAAGUGCGGCUAAGAAAUCCCUUGUUGCCAUAAAUAAAUGUAGAGGUUUUCAUCAAAUAAGUUAAAAAUUUAAUAAGAAUGUUCUGAUUAUAUAUUGCUAUUCACAGGUCAUCCCCAAACUUAGUAGCUUAAGACGGUGGUUUAUUGAACUUCAUGAUUCUGUGAGUCAGGGUUGAGUUGAACAAUAUGUCUACUCCACAGGUCAACUGGGGUCAUUUGGUGAGAUGCAUCAGGCUGGACUGGAGUGGAGGAGCCAAGAUAGGUUCACUCACACACCUAGGGUCUUGACAGGAGCAUUCAGAAGGUCAGGGUCAGCCCUACCCUUCGUUUUUUAUGCAGUCUUAGGCCUUUCGCUGUGGUAUCUUCACCAAGUUGAGUUUUCUUACAAGAUGGUUCUGGGUUCCAAGAGCGGGUGUUACCAGAGUACCAAAUGGAAUCUACUAGCCUUCUUAUGGCUGAGACUUGGAAGGUCCAGAAUAUCCCAUUUUAACACAACUAAUUACAAAUUUCAACAUGUGGGGUGCCUGGGUGACUCCGUUGGUGAGGCAUCCGGCUCUUGACUUCAGCUCAGGUCAUGAUCUCAUGGUUCGUGGGUCGAGUCCUACGUAGGGCUCUGCAGUGGCAGUUCAGAGCCUGCUUGGGAUUCUCUCUCUUCCUUUCUGUCUGCCCCUCCCCUGCUCACAUGCUCUGUCUGUCUCUCAAAAUAAAUAAACACAUUUUUUUUUUUUACUAUGUGUGAAUUGGCAACACUCAAAGACCUUUUCUUGAUUCUUCCAAAAAUUAAGAGAUUGUACAAUAUGCCAUUUUUGGAAGUUUCGUUAAUCAACCUUUAAGGUUAAUUUUUCUGGCUAACCUGUCAUUUCUACACACAUAAAAAUGGAGGUUUUUGUUUCAGAAACAACAGUGUUCAGAAUCAGAGAGCCAUAAGAGUGAACAAGCAAGUGGAAAUCAUUACCCUUUAUAUUUAUUUCUGUAUAAAAUAAGCAAGCUACAGACAAGGAGUCGCAUAGUCUUAUAAUUAACUUGGUGUACCGGCCCUGACUCUGGGGAGUCUCCCGGGUUGGGUGGGGAAGAUGAAUUGAUUUUUAUUGUUUUUUGUUCUGUUUUCCCAAUCUGCAUGCCUUUCCCUAAAAUAACAUUUCAACAUGUCUAAAACGUUGUUCUAUGGGACCACAAGUGCCUGACUUAAGAAGGCCCCAAAUUUAAUGUUGUAAAGACAGGUUUUGGUAUCAGUGGUACAUGUGGACUUAAAUAAAUAAUAAACCUUUAUUUUCCAAAGUAUAUUAAGCCGGCUGUAUGCAAUAGCAUAAUAAAUUGUUCAAUCACCUUCAAGUCAUUUCGCGAGCCAGUAAAGCCCCUCUAUUUUAGGAGGGUAAGGACUCAGAAAAUGAGCUGUUUAGGAGUUAUAAAUAGCACAUUAAUUCAACUAUCUGUAAUGCAAUGAUCAAGUUCCCAUUCCUUUAAAGGGACAGACGUCUCUCCUAAUCCUGCCAGUUCUUCUGUCAUUGGUCCUACAGGGGACCAGAUUAUGGAUGAAUCGGUAUAUAAAUCCAUCAGCACGGAUUUUAAAAGGAAGAAACAGAAAUCUCCAACACAGGUCCUUUCUGAUUGUCCAGUUUUCCUGAAAAUAAUCCUCCUCUUAAAGUACUUCUCCCUUGAUCUUCCGUUUAUCCUUUUUUUUUUGGGGGGGGGGGGAAUCUAUAUUGUAUAAGGAGUUCAACUUCUUAAAUAAAUGCACAUGUAUGCAAAAUAUUAUGUACAAUUUCUAGAGAACUCAAGGAUUUUGGAAGCUGAACAUGAAUUCCAAUGUAACAGAAAGAAAAAUAUACAUGUUGUAAAUGACAAGUUUCUAUAAAUAACUUGCAAGUGAAAAUUUUGCUCCUAAGGUUACAGCAUAUUUAGUAUACACUGAUAAUUUUUAAAAAACGUAUUUACUGAUCCCUUAUGUAAUGUGGUCUAUGAUAAGGCAUGAUAGCAAAUAAUACACAGUUCCAGGAUUCAAGGACCUCAAGCCAGAAAGAGGUCUCUACAGGUGAAAAAGAAAUCAUAUUGCAGGGGCACCUGAGUGGCUCAGUCAGUGGAGCCUCCAACUCUUGAUUUUGGCUCAAGCCAUGACCUUGAGGUUUGUGAUUGAGCUCCACAUCAGGCUCCACACUGGCGACAGCACAGGGCACGCUUGGGAUUCUCUCUCUCCCUCUCUGCCUCUCCCCUGUUCUCUCUCUCUCAAAAUAAAUAAAUAAACAAAAGAAAUAAAGAAAUCAUCUUGCAGUUGAAUCAUUUCUACAAAACAGUUGAAAACAAUGUCAUUCAUGUAAGAUAGUCACCAAGGAAGGAGCUAGACUCUUGAAGUGUGCUGCUAGACUUCCAGAUUCUCUUCCUCUUCUGCACGUUGUAGACACUGCUAAUGCUAACAUCCAUUCAACUUCCUUCCUGCGUCCAUGUGAACAAUGGGGGGCAGAUGGUCAGCUGGAGAGUGGGUCCUUGAGCAGUUCACCCAAUGCCAGCAGUCAACCACCUUUGAAAUUCUUGUCAGUGGGAACUUUUUUUUAAAGGUUUUAAGUCCUUACUAGAUUUUCUCUUUCCAAAGCAUUUCUAAUGGACUCGUUUUGGUCCUGGGAAUCCUAAUGCAGGAAUUGUGUCAGCAGACAGCACUUCCACUGGGGGAAAGGAAAGGGAAAGAUAGAGGAACCUCAAACUACAUUCUAUUUCAUAUGAUGGAAAAGGUUGGGAAGGAACUGGAGAACAACGUAGUACGUUUUCAAAUAGUUGACAGGUUAUCACGGGAAAGAAAAAUUAUGA
This is a long non-coding RNA of Neofelis nebulosa (Clouded leopard), 4994 nucleotides long. RefSeq lists it as uncharacterized. Lineage: Eukaryota; Metazoa; Chordata; Mammalia; Carnivora; Felidae. The record is from RefSeq and is a predicted model, not a curated record. The transcript has 3 exons.